RNAcentral lists this ribosomal RNA (431 nucleotides) under uncultured bacterium. Its description in RNAcentral is "partial 16S ribosomal RNA". It matches the Rfam family "Bacterial small subunit ribosomal RNA", at positions 29 to 507 of the family's 1533-position model. The record is from RNAcentral.
AACGAACGCUGGCGGCAGGCCUAACACAUGCAAGUCGAGCGCCCUUUCGGGGGAGCGGCGGACGGGUGAGUAACGCGUGGGAAUAUGCCCUUCUCUACGGAAUAGCCUCGGGAAACUGAGAGUAAUACCGUAUACGCCCUUUGGGGGAAAGAUUUAUCGGGGAAGGAUUAGCCCGCGUUGGAUUAGGUAGUUGGUGGGGUAAUGGCCUACCAAGCCGACGAUCCAUAGCUGGUUUGAGAGGAUGAUCAGCCACACUGGGACUGAGACACGGCCCAGACUCCUACGGGAGGCAGCAGUGGGGAAUCUUAGACAAUGGGGGCAAGCCUGAUCUAGCCAUGCCGCGUGAGUGAUGAAGGCCUUAGGGUUGUAAAGCUCUUUCAGCUGGGAAGAUAAUGACGGUACCAGCAGAAGAAGCCCCGGCUAACUCCGUG